This 217-nucleotide long non-coding RNA is filed under the name Ananas comosus (pineapple). Its description in RNAcentral is "long non-coding RNA (ACOM_LNC014121)". Lineage: Eukaryota; Viridiplantae; Streptophyta; Magnoliopsida; Poales; Bromeliaceae. The record is from RNAcentral.
AUUAUGAAACUUACAGAAUUCUUCCUUUUUUUUUUUAAGAGAGAGAGAAAGGUAGAAUGCUAUCCGUUUGGUUUAUUUCAUUUAAAAAUAAACUUAAUUAUAGAAUUCGAAUUUGGAUCUCGAAUACCAACCGCCAAGCUUUUUUGCCACUUGCGUUAGGAACGGUCCGUGAAACUCACAGAAUUCUAAAACUUCGUAAUUUGCUACAUCUAAACUU